RNAcentral lists this long non-coding RNA (387 nucleotides) under Physcomitrium patens. Its description in RNAcentral is "long non-coding RNA (PPAT_LNC003292)". Lineage: Eukaryota; Viridiplantae; Streptophyta; Bryopsida; Funariales; Funariaceae. The record is from RNAcentral.
UCGCCAUGCUCAUCGAGCUUGUGGUAUGCACUCCCGAAAAUCAACUCUCUAUUACAUUUGCUUCAACUCUCAGUUCCUGGAACCAACAAUGCUGCGGUGCAGAAAUCCCUCUUGUUGACAGGACCUGCGUGCGUGCAUGCACACGCCAUUUCAAUUACUAUGUGCAGGGAGUUGCAUUGUUAAUCAUAUCAUCUGCAAUCGCACCGCUCAUGCCCGAAUGCGUCAAGAACAAGCUCAGUCGGGGACCAUGCUUGCCCGCAAAUGCAACCCAGUAUGGAGUGUGUAUGUUCUCUGUGUACCUGAUUGCAGUGGGUGCGGGCUGCAUCCGGCCAUGUCUGUCAGCCUUCGGAGGAGAUCAAUUCGACCAGGAAGAUGCGGCGGAGAGAG